This 1716-nucleotide long non-coding RNA is filed under the name Gallus gallus (chicken). Lineage: Eukaryota; Metazoa; Chordata; Aves; Galliformes; Phasianidae. The record is from RNAcentral.
GAAAAGUGCUACUUCAGAAACUUUUUAUCUUUUAGGUCGUAUUUUUAAGUAAGUAGGUGGUAGUUUUCUUCUAGUAUGUUUUAAAGCUAGCAAAGCCAAAGUUUCUUUCUCUAUAUGCUUUCUAAAAAUAAAUAUGUAAUAACAUUCUUGCACUCCUACAAUACCCUGUGUUGGAUAACUGUAAGCAAUUUAUGGAGCUGGGUAAUGAUUGUCUGGAUUAUACGGCCAAGGAAGCAAAGAUACAAAUAAAGUUAAACUCUUCAGCCACAGUAGGUGAAUUGGGAUAAAUUAAAUGAUACUGAGUAACCUGCAAAGGAAGCCAAAAAGAUGUGGAAGUAUUCAGAGCCUCUCAAAGUCUAGGCCUACUAGUGUCACAUGUUUUUUUUUUAAGUCUGGAAACACACCCAGUUACGAGUUCUUUUUUAAAAGUUUGCCAAGAAACAGUUGCUCUGGAGAUAAGGUUUAUAGAACUAAAUCCACCUGAGAUUCAGUAUUACCUUGGCAUUCUUUUUCCUUGUCUGACUCAUUGUUUGGCAGGACUCAAAUUACUCACUGGAAGUUAAAACCGAGCCUGGUUUUUUAACCUUCGUAACCUUGAUUGAUCAUAGAUCAAUCAAUCAUAGAUAGAUCAAUUUGAAGGGGGAAGAAAAUAAUAUUGGACAAGAUAAAAGAGACCCAUGGCACAGGUAUUUGCAACCUGUGUCAUAUUAAUACAGGAAAACCCUUUUAUCUUUUGGAAUGGUUUUAGUGUUUAAUUUCCUAGAGGAAGGGUGGCAAGACAAUAUGUAAAAUGGCCGUGGUUGAGGAGAGAUAGUUAAAGUAAGAAGAAAAAGUGCUUACGCUUCUUGGCUUUGACUGUUUGGAGGUAUCUCAUUUGUGUCAUGCCGAUGCUGGUUCUUCAGGUAACACUCAACAAACACACUCAGCAAAUAGCCAGUCAGGCACACUCCACCUACCCCUAGGAAGAAGUAGCCUACUGGAUUAAUGUUGGAUGAAAUGGCUAGCAUGGUGACCCCAAUGAGAAGAGCAGCGGUGAAAAGAAGCAACAGGGCUUGACGGAUGUUCUUCCAGUGUGCUUCUAACCACAUGGUAUAGUGGAUGGUGGUAGCAGAUAUUUGAGAACAGAUAAGGAGUUAAGGGGAUAGACAUCUGUGGAAGAUUUAAAAGAGAUAAGAAUAAACCACAAGUCUUUUUCAGCUUGAAACAUAAGCGUGCAAAUGUUAUCAAUAUCAUGACCAAAAUACCAUGUAUGUGCAAGUUCAAUCCAUCAUGAGAACAUGCAACUAUAGACAUGCAUAGUUAGCCUAGGAGAUCUAUGUAUAAAUACAUGCUAGUGUAAAUGUACUAGAGUAUUUUAUGAGAAUGCUUCUUGAAUUAAUAGGAAUGCUUGGACUUGCAGUUGGAAGACAUAAAAGGCAUAAAUAGACCAUCAGAUCUUACUGGCAGGCUUAUCUAAAAAGUUACAGUUACCUAUUCCAGAAGUCUAGGAUGAAAAUUUGAGGCUGUGCACUUUACAUAAAAGUGAUAGACAAGUUUUAUUCUAGCACAUUAAUGAACAUUCAGAUACUAGUUCAGAUCACGGUAAAAAACAUAGCCAUAUUAAUGGAGCUCUCUGCCUCAGUAAAUGGUUUUCUAUGUAGCAGUCAUGUUUUAACUUCUCUCUUCAUCACAAGGAAAUAUAUGCAAGCUCCUCUGUCCCUGCUCCUUCCCCUUCUG